This is a non-coding RNA of Myotis brandtii (Brandt's bat), 76 nucleotides long. Lineage: Eukaryota; Metazoa; Chordata; Mammalia; Chiroptera; Vespertilionidae. The record is from Rfam.
GAGACACCUUUAUGGGGCAGGACUUGCUUCAGUGGGGCUUUGGUGCUCACUGAGUCUUCCCCUCGAGUGUGUCACU